AUUGAACGCUGGCGGCAUGCCUUACACAUGCAAGUCGAACGGCAGCACGGGUGCCUGCACCUGGUGGCGAGUGGCGAACGGGUGAGUAAUACAUCGGAACAUGUCCUGUAGUGGGGGAUAGCCCGGCGAAAGCCGGAUUAAUACCGCAUACGAUCCACGGAUGAAAGCGGGGGACCUUCGGGCCUCGCCCUAUAGGGUUGGCCGAUGGCUGAUUAGCUAGUUGGUGGGGUAAAGGCCUACCAAGGCGACGAUCAGUAGCUGGUCUGAGAGGACGACCAGCCACACUGGGACUGAGACACGGCCCAGACUCCUACGGGAGGCAGCAGUGGGGAAUGUUGGACAAUGGGCGAAAGCCUGAUCCAGCAAUGCCGCGUGUGUGAAGAAGGCCUUCGGGUUGUAAAGCACUUUUGUCCGGAAAGAAAUCCUUGACUCUAAUACAGUCGGGGGAUGACGGUACCGGAAGAAUAAGCACCGGCUAACUACGUG
Molecule: ribosomal RNA, 486 nt
Filed under: uncultured bacterium
Lineage: Bacteria
Description: partial 16S ribosomal RNA
Rfam family: Bacterial small subunit ribosomal RNA
Source: RNAcentral